Long non-coding RNA from Dermacentor silvarum, 341 nucleotides. RefSeq lists it as uncharacterized. NCBI's taxonomy places the organism in Eukaryota, Metazoa, Arthropoda, Arachnida, Ixodida, Ixodidae. The record is from RefSeq and is a predicted model, not a curated record. The transcript is spliced from 3 exons.
CUGAUAUAAGUCUUGCACUCGUAGAGUUCAAAACAGAAAGAAGUGAAGAUAACGAAGACACAGAAGUGAAGACCACAUAUUUCUGCAGUGUGAGUAAUAUUAUCAGCUUUGUAGAAAAGAAAGUUCUCGCGAAGGUUUAGAAAAUGUUACUUUCUAUGAUAAAUAUGUGGCUGUGUGCAGGAAUAUUUACUUUUACGUGUGCAACGGAAGGAGAGGUUCAAGUUCCAGUGAGACUGCGAAACAGUACUUGCCUGUACCGCGACGUCCAAGUCCCCCACAACAAAUCUCUAACAAGCGAGUGGCCAUGUGAAGAACUCACCUGCAACGCAACUGCGGGCGAA